Molecule: long non-coding RNA, 1156 nt
Organism: Nyctereutes procyonoides (raccoon dog)
Lineage: Eukaryota; Metazoa; Chordata; Mammalia; Carnivora; Canidae
Exons: 4
Source: RefSeq, a predicted model, not a curated record
AAAAAAAAAAAAAAAAAAAAAAAAAAGAAAAAGAAAGUAAAGAAAGGAAGAAAAGAGAAGAGAAGAGGAAAAAAGAUCCCAUCCCGCGCUGGCGCAGGGGAUGCACACAACCCCCCUCGCUGAGCGGCUGGCUUCUCAUCCACGAUCUGCACCCCCCCUCGGUGCGCGGCUGACCUUUCCUCCCCGAUGUGCCCUCCCGGGCCCCCCAGAUUACUUAGGCUGUCAGUGCAACUCAAGAUUUACUUUUUUCUGUGAAGCCUCCCAUGCCCACAGUCUGCAUUAAUCAUCAAGCAAGCAGUAUUUGUAGAACAGCGAGGAUCAUGAUGCGGCAGCAGCGACCAGAGGGGCAAGUUAGCUCUCCUCAAGGGGCUUGCAGUCUACAGGGGACCUUAGGCUCCCUACAGGAAUCCCACAGAGGAUGAGUCUCACUGAACAGACUGGAGCUCACGGUCGUGACCCCAAACCUAACAAAUAUUUACUGACUGAUUUAUCAAGAUGGGCAUCCAAAUACGGUUGUGUCCACCGUCUGCCUGAAAACUUUUGGCAAUACUUUCUUGACUUCAGCGUUGCCGAAGAGAGCAUAACACUUCAGUUUUGAGUGAACGGGGCAGAACCAAAUUUAAAUGUAGGCUCUGCAAGUUUCAGGCUAUUUGAUCAGAGGCAUGGAAUGAGCCCACCUGUCUCAGGUGCCUUCUCUGUAAAAGGGGGAUAAUUAUUUGCCUGCGUCGUUCUCAAUGUGAAAAUGUCUGGGACUUGGCCUAGAGCAAAGUAGAUUUUCAACCCACGUUUGCACCUUUCCUCUUCUUUUUCAGGAAUUGAAAUUUCUCGAUGAAUUCAUGUAGAGCAGAGGCUAUUUCUGACUCAGUUAAAGGGGUAGGCAGCUGUGCUGAAUGAAGCCAGGUGUAAUGAGCAUCUGUCAUAGAUCUGUCUGUCUGUCUGUCUUCAUGCCAACAUUUCUCCCCUUUCCCGUAGGUAGGAAUACUCCACACUUCUCCUUGGGAAACUUUAAGUGGGUCUGGCGACGCUGUCUAUUGUGUGGCUCUGCCUCCCUGCCCUGGGCAGGUUUACGACCCAAGCAGAGCAACCCGAAUCUGUUUAGGGGGUUUUCAUAGACCCCAGGGUGGACAAGAUCCCUGGUUUCUUGAGUUGUAAGGAC